This 105-nucleotide non-coding RNA is filed under the name Peptoniphilus obesi. RNAcentral describes it as "FMN riboswitch (RFN element)". It matches the Rfam family "FMN riboswitch aptamer (RFN element)". Rfam says of the family: The RFN element is a highly conserved domain that is found frequently in the 5'-untranslated regions of prokaryotic mRNAs that encode for flavin mononucleotide (FMN) biosynthesis and transport proteins. This element is a metabolite-dependent riboswitch that directly binds FMN in the absence of proteins. In Bacillus subtilis, the riboswitch most likely controls gene expression by causing premature transcription termination within the 5' untranslated region of the ribDEAHT operon and precluding access to the ribosome-binding site of ypaA mRNA. The record is from RNAcentral. Lineage: Bacteria; Bacillati; Bacillota; Tissierellia; Tissierellales; Peptoniphilaceae.
AUCUUCAGGGCAGGGCUAAUUUCCCUACCGGCGGUGAAGCCCGCGAGCGAAAGCUGAUUUGGUUAAAUUCCAAAGCCGACAGUAAAGUCUGGAUGAGAGAAGAUA